ACCUACCUUGCAGUGAGGAAUACCGGCGAGAAAUCGCCGACAAGACCGCAUACGCUUGCUGCUUCGCUGCAGCAAGGAAAGCUUUCUUUCGGGAAGGCGCUGGAAGAUGGGCCCGCGGCCGAUUAGCUAGCUGGUGGGGUAACGGCCUACCAGGGCGACGAUCGGUAGCUGGUCUGAGAGGACGAUCAGCCACACUGGGAUUGAGAACGGCCCAG
Molecule: ribosomal RNA, 215 nt
Filed under: uncultured bacterium
Lineage: Bacteria
Description: partial 16S ribosomal RNA
Rfam family: Bacterial small subunit ribosomal RNA
Source: RNAcentral